This 253-nucleotide ribosomal RNA is filed under the name uncultured bacterium. Its description in RNAcentral is "partial 16S ribosomal RNA". It matches the Rfam family "Bacterial small subunit ribosomal RNA", at positions 524 to 776 of the family's 1533-position model. The record is from RNAcentral.
CACGUAGGGGGCGAGCGUUGUCCGGAAUUAUUGGGCGUAAAGCGCGCGUAGGCGGUUACUCAAGUCGGAUGUGAAAGCCCUCGGCUUAACUGAGGAAGUGCACCCGAAACUGAGUAGCUAGAGUACUAAAGAGGGUCGCGGAAUUCCCGGUGUAGAGGUGAAAUUCGUAGAUAUCGGGAGGAACACCGGUGGCGAAGGCGGCUUUCUGGGUCUUACCUGACGCUGAGGAACGAAAGCCAGGGGAGCGAACGGG